ACACUUUAAAAGGGUACUUUUAGAAACUAAAAACCACGCUCAUUAAGUACUUUUACCUAUUUUGAUUUUCCAUUACCCAUUCCUCCUGCCCCCCAAUUCAUUUAUAUUCUUUCCCCAAAUUCAUUCUCUUCCUAAUUACAGAGGCAUCUCAGUCUCAGAGACAGAAACGUUCAACUUCACUUGCUGCUUCUAAUCCUCGAAAACCCUAGCCAAAUUUUAGGGCUACGGUAGUUUAAUCUCUGUGAGUACUUUCUUCUCUUCACUCUUCGGUUUUCUACUUCUCUCUCUAGUAAUCUAUGUUCUCUGUAUUGUACCUUUAGUUAUUGCAUUGUAUGCUUCUCAUUUUGCUCUAUUGUGUGGAAUUUAUGUUGUCGCCUCGCUCAUUCUAGCAUUCUCUUUCUGAUUUCGCUCUAUUCUAUCAUAUUCUUGUUGUCAAUUCGCUAUUUCCAAUUAGCCUAGUAGAAUUGGUAAACCUAGUCUUUGGUGAACUCAAUUUGGACCAGAAACUAUAACCGACUCAACAACUCUAUAUAAAGGAGCUAAUUAAGAUCUAUUGAUAGUCCGAAAAAAUCUCAACUACACUAUCCAUCUUUCAGCUUGUUCAUUUUUACAAGUAAUUCUCAUUCCAUUUGAAGGCUAUCGAGCUCUGGCUUCUUCAAAACCUUCACUGACUAUUCAGGUUGGAACAUUUUAAGCCAUUGUAGCUGCAGAGCUGGCUUUGGUAUUGACAGUAGUGAAUAAUGAAGAAGACUUCAUGUGGGCGUUGAUUCAACUGGUCAUCUCUACAUUCUUUACUUCCUUGUUUUCCUUGUAAGUGGGAAUAAAGAAUAGCACAAUACUUCCUAUUAAUAUGCUAGUUGUUUAUAGUAGCUCUUGUUAUUUAUUUUGUUUCUUUAGCAAUCCUUAAGAUGUCAGAUUGUAGCUUAUCAUAAUGACGUGUGUAUGACUUGUACAAUACCUAUGAUACACACACUGGUUUUGGGUUUAAAUUUUCAGUCAUUCUGUACUAUUUGACACUAUCACUUCUUAGCAUUUGGUUGUUUGGACCUAGUUUCUUCUAGAAAAGUUGCCAUCCUAUACAAGCCAUCUAGUUAAGAAUGAAAAAAAAAUCAAGUAUAAGAUGUAAAAUAACUUGUUAAUAUGCAGUGUCCAGCUAGUGGAGUUGUGCAACGAGCUAAUACUCUUCUAUGAAAGCAAUGGAUAAAAAUGUACCGCUUAAUUGAAACAAUAAAAGGAGCAAAAUUUAACAUCAAAUGCAUUACUGCUCCUUAGUUUUAGAUUAGCUUUUGUCCAUGAGCAAACAUAUUCUAUUCUCAAUUGUAAUUUUGUUUGCAUCCGCUUGACUUCUUUUAAUGAACUCCUUUUACUUCAUGAAAAAAAAAAUGAUGCUCAACUUAACUAGUGCUUGAUAUUUUGCUUGUCAUAUAUAUUCUAUUUGUGAAUGCUUCACCGGUGAUUGAUAGGUUGCUUUACUUAUACAACUUGCAUCUUCUCCGAGUUUUCUCUCUCAUUUUCUCUAUAUUAAUCAGUUUUUUAUUGUAUUGGUUGUUGGGCAAAAAUGAUCCGUUCUUCGAAGUCCUACCUUCUCUAUUUCUUAGUUCUCUUAGUUUAUGAUAGUUGGUCUUUAUUAUGGUAAGAAGUUAUGCUUAUCAUAACGUAUUUCAUGUGUUUUUAAGAGAAUCAGUUGACUCAUAUUAUAGUCUAUUAACAGAAUCUAGAAGCAGAAAGAUCCAUUGAUGGUAGAUUGUAGUUUUGUAAGAUUUAUUCCAAGAUAUCGAUGAUCUUACCACACUCAAGGAUGCUUCAGUUGCUGAGUGUAGAGAAAGCAAUAAUAAGCAUUUGACCUUCAGCAUGAAUGUGCAGGAUCAAGAGGUUGCUGCUGGUUAGUUUUCUAUAUGAGCAUGAUGAGUAAAGUAAACAGUAGCGAUGAGUGAAGGUGGAAAAAAAAACUGGUAGUUAAACUAGUUAGUAUGAUCUAAAAUCUACCGGAGCACCUGAAUAUUUUCAUCUGGAUCUGCACCUUAUCUCAUAUACGGCAACAGUAGUAUGGAAAGGCAAAACCACUGAAAAGAAUAAUGAGAUUACAAUUAGGGAACUUAAGACUCAAAAACCUUCAGAAGUUUUUGAUGAUCUGAACAAGGAAAUCUCACAUGUUGCUUAGAUUAAUAGGGUGGUCAAGCUACCGAAAACGGAUCAGUUGCAAAAUUAGGAGAUUGAUGUGAAAGGUGCUAAGGACCAAGGGGAUAACAAAUUGGGUUUCUAACGUAUACUACCUUUAGCACUAUAAUAUGUUUUAAAGUGUUAUUCAUGAUAGAGUACAUCAGAUAUUGUAUAAUUCAUUUCCAGUAGUCGACCUAUAAGAGAUUGCUUUAUUAGUUAAUGUAGUACUUGAUACAUAUUUCUUUUUCAAAGUUCAUUGUAAGUGUAUGCGCUUGAA
Molecule: non-coding RNA, 2437 nt
Organism: Nicotiana tabacum (common tobacco)
Lineage: Eukaryota; Viridiplantae; Streptophyta; Magnoliopsida; Solanales; Solanaceae
Source: RefSeq, a predicted model, not a curated record